GGAAGUUGAGGCUGUAAGUCUUUCGUACUGUCGGCAAACUUUUCAGUAAUUCCAUGUGCUGUCAUUUUCUGUUAAAAACAGAAGAUUUCAGUCAGUUCCAGUUGUAUGUUCAUAAGAUUAUGGAAUUGAACAAAAAUUUUUCAUCCAGACUUGCAAUAUUGCUACUGAGAUGUUGAACACAAUAAUUUUCUGGUGGAUGACAAUAUAAUUUCUUUUAAAAUUGAUUUGUCACCACGUGGGGACCUGAAACUGAAAACUGACAGGUACUUUGAGACACUAUUCAUGUGGAAGGUGACCACACCGAUGCCACAAAUAUCAUCAAUACUGCAUGAUUUAGGCAAACAGGUUGUGUAGGCUGAAACAAUGAAGGGAAAAGUAGCUGUGUAUACCGAGGAAAAUGUAAAAGGUGGAUGAGAAAACUUGAAAUUUUCAGAAGUGAAAACUCAAAGACAUUGUCACUAUGAUCCAAUCAUUAUCAUUUUGGGGCAUGCAGAAGAAAUGAGCUCAUUAUACGUGUAAUAAUUUAUUUGAAUGUGUUUUGAAGAAAUAGGGGGUAGACAAUUGGAAACUAAAUGCCGUGAAAUACGCGUGUCCAUUGAUAUAAAAAUGUUUCACACUGUUCAUUUCUGGACUGGGUGUGUGUAUGGACAGCACAAUGAGGGACUGAACAUUGGAAUUUCUACACAAGGUAAUUCGCUAAUGUCUGCGUUGGAGUUUUUUUAUGGCAACUGGGACCAUAUCAGAAAUUACCCGGACGACCUGCGGCUCGCCUUCCUUGUUCCUACCAACCAAGAAAGGAUUGAUGAAUUAGCUAUUACCUUCUAUGGAAACAAAAUAAAUUAUUCAGCAGCUGUUAUUGUACUUGAAGAACUCUGGUAUUAUAAGCCAAAUCUUAACAAUUUAAUUCGUCAAUUCAGGGAAGCAUAUAGAGAGUUUGUUUUUAUGCCUAAUGUGCACAUAAGUAUUACGAUUUCAGAUAGGGACGUUAUAGGCCUUUGUGGUAUAACUAUUAGAGCCUCAAUACAUAAAAUAUCAAAAGUCAUACCUCAGACGCACAGCCAAAGGCCAUCCUAGAACAUGGCCUCACGGGUAGUGAGGUCUCCUAAUCAGGGUAAAACCAAAUAUAGGCUUGUUAACAAGUUAUCUACGGACAAAGAGCAUUGGCAAUGUACAUGUGAGAAUGAGUUUUGUUUACAUUUUAGGUGGCAAGUGUUGGCACGUCUGUAUUAUGUUUUGGAUAUUUCAGAAUGGCUCACAACCUGCAUCCCGCUUUGGGAUACCGAAGAGCAGAGUAUGAAAAUGUUGCCAAUAGUCAUGAACAAACCCAAGGUAUGCAACAUCACGCUUGCGUAGGUGGGCCGAACGUACUAAAGUUAUAGAUUACAUGGAUCCAUUCUUAGUUAAUAAUUGGUCUCGUAUUCGUUUCAUUGAGAAAUAUUUCGACUCUUUUCAAGCGAAUCGUUUGGUCGUCAGGUCUCUUACUGAGUGUCAUUUAAAUUAUAAUGCCUGGGCGGGGCGCGUUGUACGGUGGUAUAACAAGGCCUUUCGGUCAACGGAGGUGCCUAAGAAACAGUUAUAUCUUUAUGGUGAUACAAAUAUUGGCAAGUCAACGUUAAUUGAGAAAAUACUGUCUCGUAAACAGCAUUUAUAUCUACCGUUUUGUUCCGAAUUUGGAUUUGGUGGAUAUGAUGCUUGUGUUCAUAAUGUUAUUGUUUUUGAGGAGUUUGAGUGGUCUAGAUGGAGGCAGUAUGCAUCAAUUUCACUGAUCAGUUACUGGGGGUGCACUGCCUGCUUGUGGGCUCAGUAUGUGAAACAAGUGCAUGUCACAGAGGCAUAAUUGUUUUACGCGUGCUCGUCUUGUAUUGUGGCACAGUUUGUUAUGAGAACAUACGGUUUCAUAUUGUCUGUUUCUUUAGCUUCAUUGUGUAAUCACUGUUGUUUAUACAGGGUGUUUCAAAAAUGACCGGUAUAUUUGAAAUGGCAAUAAAAGCUAAACGAGCAGCGAUAGAAAUACACCAUUUGUUGCAAUAUGCUUGGGACAACAGUACAUUUUCAG
Molecule: long non-coding RNA, 2056 nt
Filed under: Schistocerca americana (American grasshopper)
Lineage: Eukaryota; Metazoa; Arthropoda; Insecta; Orthoptera; Acrididae
Description: uncharacterized LOC124555322, transcript variant X3
Source: RNAcentral